GAUGAACGCUGGCGGCGUGCCUAAUACAUGCAAGUCGAGCGAACAGACAAGGAGCUUGCUCCUUUGACGUUAGCGGCGGACGGGUGAGUAACACGUGGGUAACCUACCUAUAAGACUGGGAUAACUUCGGGAAACCGGAGCUAAUACCGGAUAAUAUUUCGAACCGCAUGGUUCGAUAGUGAAAGAUGGUUUUGCUAUCACUUAUAGAUGGACCCGCGCCGUAUUAGCUAGUUGGUAAGGUAACGGCUUACCAAGGCGACGAUACGUAGCCGACCUGAGAGGGUGAUCGGCCACACUGGAACUGAGACACGGUCCAGACUCCUACGGGAGGCAGCAGUAGGGAAUCUUCCGCAAUGGGCGAAAGCCUGACGGAGCAACGCCGCGUGAGUGAUGAAGGUCUUCGGAUCGUAAAACUCUGUUAGUAGGGAAGAACAUACGUGUAAGUAACUAUGCACGUCUUGACGGUACCUAAUCAGAAAGCCACGGCUAACUACGUGCCAGCAGCCGCGGUAAUACGUAGGUGGCAAGCGUUAUCCGGAAUUAUUGGGCGUAAAGCGCGCGUAGGCGGUUUUUUAAGUCUGAUGUGAAAGCCCACGGCUCAACCGUGGAGGGUCAUUGGAAACUGGAAAACUUGAGUGCAGAAGAGGAAAGUGGAAUUCCAUGUGUAGCGGUGAAAUGCGCAGAGAUAUGGAGGAACACCAGUGGCGAAGGCGACUUUCUGGUCCGUAACUGACGCUGAUGUGCGAAAGCGUGGGGAUCAAACAGGAUUAGAUACCCUGGUAGUCCACGCCGUAAACGAUGAGUGCUAAGUGUUAGGGGGUUUCCGCCCCUUAGUGCUGCAGCUAACGCAUUAAGCACUCCGCCUGGGGAGUACGACCGCAAGGUUGAAACUCAAAGGAAUUGACGGGGACCCGCACAAGCGGUGGAGCAUGUGGUUUAAUUCGAAGCAACGCGAAGAACCUUACCAAAUCUUGACAUCCUUUGACAACUCUAGAGAUAGAGCCUUCCCCUUCGGGGGACAAAGUGACAGGUGGUGCAUGGUUGUCGUCAGCUCGUGUCGUGAGAUGUUGGGUUAAGUCCCGCAACGAGCGCAACCCUUAAGCUUAGUUGCCAUCAUUAAGUUGGGCACUCUAAGUUGACUGCCGGUGACAAACCGGAGGAAGGUGGGGAUGACGUCAAAUCAUCAUGCCCCUUAUGAUUUGGGCUACACACGUGCUACAAUGGACAAUACAAAGGGCAGCGAAAUCGCGAGGUCAAGCAAAUCCCAUAAAGUUGUUCUCAGUUCGGAUUGUAGUCUGCAACUCGACUACAUGAAGCUGGAAUCGCUAGUAAUCGUAGAUCAGCAUGCUACGGUGAAUACGUUCCCGGGUCU
Molecule: ribosomal RNA, 1372 nt
Filed under: uncultured bacterium
Lineage: Bacteria
Description: bacterial SSU rRNA
Rfam family: Bacterial small subunit ribosomal RNA
Source: RNAcentral